GACGAACGCUGGCGGCGUGCUUAACACAUGCAAGUCGAGCGAUGAAGCACCUUCGGGUGUGAAUUAGCGGCGAACGGGUGAGGAACACGUGAGAAAUCUGCCUUCAACUCUGGGAUAACUCCGUGAAAACGGGGCUAAUACCGGAUAUGAAACCUGCGGGCAUCCGCGGGUUUGGAAAGUUUUUCGGUUGAAGAUGAUCUCGCGGCCUAUCAGCUUGUUGGUGAGGUAAUGGCUCACCAAGGCGACGACGGGUAGCCGGCCUGAGAGGGCGACCGGCCAGACUGGGACUGAGACACGGCCCAGACUCCUACGGGAGGCAGCAGUGGGGAAUAUUGGGCAAUGGAGGAAACUCUGACCCAGCGACGCCGCGUGCGGGAUGAAGGCCUUCGGGUUGUAAACCGCUUUCAGCAGGGAAGAAGCGAAAGUGACGGUACCUGCAGAAGAAGCACCGGCUAACUAUGUGCCAGCAGCCGCCGCAG
This 479-nucleotide ribosomal RNA is filed under the name uncultured bacterium. Its description in RNAcentral is "partial 16S ribosomal RNA". It matches the Rfam family "Bacterial small subunit ribosomal RNA", at positions 28 to 523 of the family's 1533-position model. The record is from RNAcentral.